CAGGCUGGCUAGGAGAGGAAGAGAGGCCAGGUGGGGAAUGGAAAGAAAGGAGGGAUCCAGAAGCUGAACAUUACCAUGACAGCAGAAAACAAAUUCAUUCUGUGAACGGCAGGCCUUCGCAAAUCCUUGUGCACUAGAGACCUUUAAAAAAGGAGAAGCCGAGAAUACUGAUCGUGUUCUAAAGAGCGAAAACAGAGCAUGGACGCCAAAAUCCUGACUCACCAUUUUUAGCUUUGGAAGAGGCAGGUCCAGCCCAACAGUUUUAAAAGGCAAUUUGUUCUCUGAACCUUCCUUCCCAAGCAGGGCUCUGUGCUCUGUGUGUGUCUGGCCAGCCGUCUCAGAAAGGGCUUUUGGGUGAAGAGGAUAAACCUGUUUCUUUGGCCCUCUCGUGCUGGACAAAUAAAGGAAGUUUCAUUGCUGAGAUGACUGCGAGAAGGGGCUUCAGAUCGAGGAGAAAACCGCUAAACCAGAGGUUUUGUCUUUUUUCCCCCUCACUCGAUUAAUGGUGUAAAUAUACCUCAAACAUCUAUCCCCUAACCCCCGCCCAAACCUCAGGUAACUGGUCUUUUGUAAAACAAGGGUCACGAUAAAUGAUGCAUAAAGUUCUUUGAGAUCCCUGGAAGCAAAGUGCUACGUGACUGCAGUCUUCCUUACAGCUAAGCUAAGAUUGUGGCUGAGAGAAAGCCUAACCGCUGCCCUGAUGGUAUGAACGUUUCAGUUCCCCCUCCCUUCCCAACCUUUCUCAAGAAAUCAGGAAAUUUUUAGCUCAGUCUUAGACCCGCUAGCGAGCUCUAGCUCCCAGUUAUUU
Molecule: long non-coding RNA, 808 nt
Filed under: Equus caballus (horse)
Lineage: Eukaryota; Metazoa; Chordata; Mammalia; Perissodactyla; Equidae
Description: lncRNA (ENSECAG00000046343.1)
Source: RNAcentral